GAGCUUGUUCCCUGGAGUUGCCAGCAGAUGUAAACAGGGUUCUGAAAAAAUGUAAAAAUAUCCCUCCUUGUUGCAAGCCAAGCAAUUAAAAUUUCAGCUGUAUGUUAUAGUCUGAACUGGCUCGUGCUGUUUAGUUUGGGACAGCCAGAGUUCUGCAGCAGGGAGGUUGUAACUGGGUAGGUAAAUUGAUCCUCUUGUAUCAUUUACAGACCUGUACAGGCCAGGCAUGUACAGGCUCACUUAAUAUUUUGGGAGUGCCUCUAUUGGAACAAUGGAUGUGGAAUGUCAGAGUAUUAUUUUAAAAUGUAUUAAGAAGACAUGAGUUUAACCCUUUCUCCCAAGUCUGCAGUAAUAGCACUCUGUGGUACUGCGGCAUGAUUUUAUAAACAGUUGUCUUGAUUUUUUUUUUUUUUAUGUCCUUGAUUUUUUUACUUGCUCUUUAAGGCUUAGUGCUUUGGACAGUGAGCAAAGUAUGAGUAGAGUUGGGUUUUGGUUUUGACUGUCCUAUAUAUUGAUUUUUUCCUCUUGUGUAGGUCAUCUGAGUGAAUGCAUUUCUGCAGUGUUUUCCUGUGCUUGUACUAUGUACUAAGUGUUUAUAAACACAGGCAAAGAGAACUUCUUGCAGAAUACUUCAUAGAACGGAGAGAUUCUACAAGAAGUUUUUAAUAAAAAUUUCUUCUCACCCAAUUCCUGCUUCUCAAAAGUAGGUUACUGAUCAGAUUUCACCUCAGUAAGAGCUGUGCAUCUGGUUUGGAUAACAGUAUCAAUUUCUUACAGCAAUGAACAGGGACUUUUUAAAGGGCCAAAAGUCAGAUUUUUCUCUUCAAACAGACAUUCACUAUAGUGAACAACUACUUUGUACCUCAAAGAACCUGGAUAUGAUUAUUUAAACACUGAAAAGCAAUUUAUCAGCAGGUGGGAUUUGACUGUUAAUUGUCUCAUGACUGUAGAUAUCUCAGCUGAGAUUAAAAUUAUUAUCUUUAGGCCAGUUAUACAAAGUAAUACUCCAUGGACAUUUUGUGACAGUUUUUUGUAGAUAUUUUUGUAUUUGUUUAAUUUAUAGUAGGACACUCAAGUUAAGAGAUAAAUUGCAGUUCAGUGUAACUGUUUUUAACAUCUCUAUCAGGGAUGUUAAUCAAACUCAGUAUUAUUUUCCAGCCAGUCUGCCAUCACAGGUCAUUUAAUAAAAAUCUUUGCUUGACUCUUUUGACUGAUUGUCAGCAUUUCAUGGAUAAAAUCCAGCAUUUUGGCAAAAAAAUCUUUUCCAUUUCUCUGCAGCACCCAAGAACUGAUCAAUUUUUCAAGA
Non-coding RNA from Taeniopygia guttata (zebra finch), 1306 nucleotides. NCBI's taxonomy places the organism in Eukaryota, Metazoa, Chordata, Aves, Passeriformes, Estrildidae. The record is from RefSeq and is a predicted model, not a curated record.